UACUCCUACGGGGAGGCAGCAGUGGGGAAUAUUGCACAAUGGGGGAAACCCUGAUGCAGCCAUGCCGCGUGUGUGAAGAAGGCCUUCGGGUUGUAAAGCACUUUCAGUAGGGAGGAAGGUAGUGUAGUUAACACCUGCAUUAUUUGAACGUUACCUACAGAAGAAGCACCGGCUAACUCCGUGCCAGCAGCCGCGGUAAUACGGAGGGUGCGAGCGUUAAUCGGAAUUACUGGGCGUAAAGCGCAUGCAGGCGGCCUGUUAAGUCAGAUGUGAAAGCCCGGGGCUUAACCUCGGAAUUGCAUUUCGAAACUGGCAGGCUAGAGUCUUGUAGAGGGGGGUAGGAAUUUCAGGUGUAGCGGUGAAAUAGCGUAGAGAUCUGAAGGAAUACCAGUGGCGAAGGCGGCCCCCUGGACAAAGACUGACGCUCAGAUGCGAAAGCGUGGGGAGCAAACAGGAUUAGAUACCCUGGUAG
Molecule: ribosomal RNA, 472 nt
Filed under: uncultured bacterium
Lineage: Bacteria
Description: bacterial SSU rRNA
Rfam family: Bacterial small subunit ribosomal RNA
Source: RNAcentral